This 439-nucleotide ribosomal RNA is filed under the name uncultured bacterium. RNAcentral's name for it is "partial 16S ribosomal RNA". It matches the Rfam family "Bacterial small subunit ribosomal RNA", at positions 339 to 795 of the family's 1533-position model. The record is from RNAcentral.
CUACGGGAUGCAGCAGUGAGGAAUAUUGCACAAUGGGGGGAACCCUGAUGCAGCAACGCCGCGUGGAGGAUGACGCAUUUCGGUGUGUAAACUCCUUUUAUAUGUCAAGAAAAUGACGGUAGCAUAUGAAUAAGCACCGGCUAACUCCGUGCCGGCAGCCGCGGUAAUACGGAGGGUGCAAGCGUUACUCGGAAUCACUUGGCGUAAAGGACGCGUAGGCGGGUUGGUAAGUCAGGUGUGAAAUCAUACAGCUUAACUGUAGAACUGCACUUGAAACUACCGACCUAGAGUAGGGGAGGGGAAGAUGGAAUUAGUGGUGUAGGGGUAAAAUCCGUAGAUAUCACUAGGAAUACCUAAAGCGAAGGCGAUCUUCUGGAACAUUACUGACGCUAAGGCGUGAAAGCGUGGGGAGCAAACAGGAUUAGAUACCCUUGUAGUC